GUAGGGGGCAAGGGUUGUCCGGAUUUAUUGGGCGUAAAGGGCGCGUAGGCGGCUCUGCACGUUCGUUGUGAAAUCGCCCGGCUCAACUGGGCGGGGUCAGCGGAUACGGCAGAGCUUGAGCAAGCUAGGGGGCAAUGGAAUUCCCGGUGUAGUGGUGGAAUGCGUAGAUAUCGGGAGGAACACCAGUGGCGAAGGCGGUUGCCUGGGGCUUUGCUGACGCUGAUGCGCGAAAGCGUGGGGAGCGAUCCGG
Molecule: ribosomal RNA, 250 nt
Filed under: uncultured bacterium
Lineage: Bacteria
Description: partial 16S ribosomal RNA
Rfam family: Bacterial small subunit ribosomal RNA
Source: RNAcentral